AAUAUGAGUGGCACAGCGAUAUGUUCUAACCUGGUCAGGGCCGGAAGGCAGCAGCCAUACGAACCUCUAUUUGCGUGUGCCGUUUUAUUUAUAU
This 94-nucleotide signal recognition particle RNA is filed under the name Erysipelotrichaceae bacterium. RNAcentral's name for it is "signal recognition particle sRNA small type". It matches the Rfam family "Bacterial small signal recognition particle RNA". Rfam says of the family: The signal recognition particle (SRP) is a universally conserved ribonucleoprotein involved in the co-translational targeting of proteins to membranes. Archaeal SRP consists of a 7S RNA and homologues of the eukaryotic SRP19 and SRP54 proteins. RNAcentral also lists the same sequence under 1 other name. The record is from RNAcentral. Lineage: Bacteria; Bacillati; Bacillota; Erysipelotrichia; Erysipelotrichales; Erysipelotrichaceae.